CCCUUAGAUGUUCUGGGCCGCACGCGUGCUACACUGAGUGGAUCAGCGGGUCAGGUUGCGCGAAAGCGUUUCCUAAUCUUUAAAUCCACUCGUGAUGGGGAUUGACGGUUGCAAUUUUCUGUCAUGAACGAGGAAUACCUUGUAAGCGCGGGUCAUCAUCCCGCGCUGAAUACGUCCCUGCCCUUUGUACACACCGCCCGUCGCUACUACCGAUUGAACGGUUUAGUGAGGGCCUCGGAUUGGUCUCGGCCCGCUCUUUACCGGGCGGCGCCGUUGGUCGAGAAGACGCUCGAACUUGAUCGUUUAGAGGAAGUAAAAGUCGUAACA
RNAcentral lists this ribosomal RNA (327 nucleotides) under uncultured eukaryote. RNAcentral's name for it is "partial 18S ribosomal RNA". It matches the Rfam family "Eukaryotic small subunit ribosomal RNA", at positions 1470 to 1796 of the family's 1831-position model. The record is from RNAcentral.